This 44-nucleotide non-coding RNA is filed under the name Schistosoma margrebowiei. Lineage: Eukaryota; Metazoa; Platyhelminthes; Trematoda; Strigeidida; Schistosomatidae. The record is from RNAcentral.
CUCAGUUGAUGGGUCGCAAAUAAGACGAAACGCGAGUCCUAGAU